This 465-nucleotide ribosomal RNA is filed under the name uncultured Glomus. RNAcentral's name for it is "SSU rRNA". It matches the Rfam family "Eukaryotic small subunit ribosomal RNA", at positions 569 to 1040 of the family's 1831-position model. Lineage: Eukaryota; Fungi; Glomeromycota; Glomeromycetes; Glomerales; Glomeraceae. The record is from RNAcentral.
AGCAGCCGCGGUAAUUCCAGCUCCAAUAGCGUAUAUUAAAGUUGUUGCAGUUAAAAAGCUCGUAGUUGAAUUUCGGGAUCAAAUUGUCGGUCGUGCCUCGGUACGAACUGGUAUUAUUGGUUCCUACCUUCUGAAGAAUCGCGAUGUCAUUAAUUUGGUGUCGUGGGGAAUCAGGACUGUUACUUUGAAAAAUUAGAGUGUUUAAAGCAGGCUUACGCUUGAAUACAUUAGCAUGGAAUAAUGAAAUAGGACGUUUGAUUCUAUUUUGUUGGUUUCUAGGAUUGACGUAAUGAUUAAUAGGGAUAGUUGGGGCAUUAGUAUUCAAUUGUCAGAGGUGAAAUUCUUGGAUUUAUUGAAGACUAACUACUGCGAAAGCAUUUGCCAAGGAUGUUCUCAUUAAUACAAGAACGAAAGUUAGGGGAUCGAAGACGAUCAGAUACCGUCGUAGUCUUAACCAUAAACUAU